CCUACGGGUGGCAGCAGUGGGGAAUAUUGCACAAUGGGGGAAACCCUGAUGCAGCGACGCCGCGUGAGUGAAGACGUAUUUCGGUAUGUAAAGCUCUAUCAGCAGGGAAGAAAAUGCCGUUACCUGACUAAGCAGCCCCGGCUAACUACGUGCCAGCAGCCGCGGUAAUACGUCGGGGGCAAGCGUUAUCCGGAUUUACUGGGUGUAAAGGGAGCGUAGACGGCAGCGCAAGUCUGAAGUGAAAUCCCAGGGCUUAACCAGGGAACUGCAUUGGAAACUGUGCAGCUGGAGUGCAGGAGAGGUAAGCGGAAUUCCUAGUGUAGCGGUGAAAUGCGUAGAUAUUAGGAGGAACACCAGUGGCGAAGGCGGCUUACUGGACUGUAACUGACGUUGAGGCUCGAAAGCGUGGGGAGCAAACAGGAUUAGAUACCCGUGUAGUC
This 440-nucleotide ribosomal RNA is filed under the name uncultured bacterium. RNAcentral describes it as "partial 16S ribosomal RNA". It matches the Rfam family "Bacterial small subunit ribosomal RNA", at positions 338 to 795 of the family's 1533-position model. The record is from RNAcentral.